AAAACAGCAGGGACUCACAUGAUUUAAAACUUAGAAUCAUCGCCUCUACAAUAUUGCAGUCCACAUCUAAGAAGUCCUAAUCACAGAAGCACAUUAUACAAUAUCCUAGCUUAGCAACCAAAUUCACCUAGCCAACAUCUUAGCAAAUCAUGUCUGACAUUCCCCUCUACCAACCUCAUUUCUUAACAUAAAUAAAUGUGUAUGCUUUACCUUGGGAGUAUCGAUCACAAGACACAUGGACUCUUACCCCAACAUGUAUCUGAGUAAACAUGUAGUCUUGUUCUGGUUUCUUUUACUCUAUAUCUCCCUUCUCUGAAUCCUUUUUAUCUCAAUUCCAAUGAAUAAAGAUGCUGAUGCAGUCCAUCUUAUUCACCUUGUUUUUCGAUUUUUUUUAUUAUUAUUAUUUUUUUUUCUUUUCUUGACAAAGUGUAGGCGAAUAGUGGGGUCAUCGGUAAUGUACCUACCCCUCGCUUCCAACAAUGUGUGAUCAUUCUAUUAGAGUAGAAUAAUGGGGUCAUCGGUAAUGUACCUACUCCUCUAAACUGCAAGAAAUCAUCUCAAUCUUUUAUUUUAUUUUAUUAGGAUGCCAAAGGGAGGAGAGAAGGAAACCAAAAUCACUCAGACUUUUACCUUUCAGACCUGAAGGAGGAAUCCGAUCCAGUGUAUACCAAGCCCCAAGACAAGCAGUUAAGUCAAAUUAGGUUGGAGGUCAGCUUCGGUUCCUUCAAACACUCUCAGCAAGUGCAAACAUAGUUGACAUGUUGAUCCACUUUAGUAUCUUUAGUACUAUCUGCAAUCAGUAAGUCUAUAAUGGUGCUAAAGAGUGGUUAGAUAACAAGCAUGAAUCUAAUAAGUUCAUUAUCCCCUUCUUGACUCAAUAAAAACAGAUUUGAAAAUAUUUUAAAUAAGACUCAUAAAGGUAGAUAAACGUUAGUAAUCCCCCCAGACUUAAAUUACACUGUCCCUAGUGUAACACAGUCGGUGGUAAGGUGAAAAUCAUAAAGUAGUGUACAAAAUUUAAUAAGUAAGAACGAUAACAUGCUCAGUAUCGAUCGAUACAAUGAAGUGACAAUCGAUCGUUGUUGAUGAAGCGUUGUCGAUUGAUAGUGACAUGGGCUCAUCGGUCGAUGGCUAGAGCAAUCAUUCGACACAAUGAAGAGAUAAUCGAUUGUUGGAUAUGAAGCGCUGUCGAUCGAUAUCGAGCUGGUGUCAUCGGUCGAUGUGCUGAGCAAUCGUCUACUCGGAUCUGUUUUUUUUUUUUUUUUUUUAGAAAAACUAACUAAAACACAAUAUUAGUAGAACCUCCCCGAGACUUAGAUAACACUAUAAUGAUGUUAUCCAGUCGGAGAUUGGUGUAAAUAAAUCAUAAGUACUCAAUUUAACAAGUUAGAACGAUAUACCUGACCAGAAUGGAUGUCGAUCGAUGUAAACGUGUUGUCAUCGGUCGUGGCAGAUGUAGCAAUGUUGAUCGAUAUCGACUUGUUCUCGUCGGUCAAUAUCAUGGCAAUCGUUUACUUGGG
Molecule: long non-coding RNA, 1520 nt
Filed under: Brassica rapa (field mustard)
Lineage: Eukaryota; Viridiplantae; Streptophyta; Magnoliopsida; Brassicales; Brassicaceae
Description: long non-coding RNA (BRAP_LNC008702)
Source: RNAcentral